RNAcentral lists this ribosomal RNA (856 nucleotides) under Cordyceps ninchukispora. Its description in RNAcentral is "partial large subunit ribosomal RNA". It matches the Rfam family "Eukaryotic large subunit ribosomal RNA", at positions 73 to 961 of the family's 3401-position model. The record is from RNAcentral. Lineage: Eukaryota; Fungi; Ascomycota; Sordariomycetes; Hypocreales; Cordycipitaceae.
UGGCCCCAGGUAACGGCGAGUGAAGCGGCAACAGCUCAAAUUUGAAAUCUGGCCCCCAGGGCCCGAGUUGUAAUUUGCAGAGGAUGCUUUGGGCGAGGUGCCUUCCGAGUUCCCUGGAACGGGACGCCAUAGAGGGUGAGAGCCCCGUCUGGUCGGACACCGAGCCUGUGUAAAGCUCCUUCGACGAGUCGAGUAGUUUGGGAAUGCUGCUCAAAAUGGGAGGUAUAUGUCUUCUAAAGCUAAAUAUUGGCCAGAGACCGAUAGCGCACAAGUAGAGUGAUCGAAAGAUGAAAAGCACUUUGAAAAGAGGGUUAAAAAGUACGUGAAAUUGUUGAAAGGGAAGCGCCUAUGACCAGACUUGGGCCCGGUGAAUCAUCCAGCGUUCUCGCUGGUGCACUUUGCCGGGCACAGGCCAGCAUCAGUUUGGCGCGGGGGACAAAGGCUUCGGGAAUGUAGCUCCCUCGGGAGUGUUAUAGCCCGCUGCGCAAUACCCUGCGCCGGACUGAGGUACGCGCAUCGCAAGGAUGCUGGCGUAAUGGUCAUCAGCGACCCGUCUUGAAACACGGACCAAGGAGUCGUCUUCGUAUGCGAGUGUUCGGGUGUCAAACCCCUACGCGUAAUGAAAGUGAACGCAGGUGAGAGCUUCGGCGCAUCAUCGACCGAUCCUGAUGUUCUCGGAUGGAUUUGAGUAAGAGCAUACGGGGCCGGACCCGAAAGAAGGUGAACUAUGCCUGUAUAGGGUGAAGCCAGAGGAAACUCUGGUGGAGGCUCGCAGCGGUUCUGACGUGCGAAUCGAUCGUCAAAUAUGGGCAUGGGGGCGAAAGACUAAUCGAACCUUCUAGUAGCUGGUUCGCGU